GUGCUCGCUUCGGCAGCACACAUACUAAAAUUGGAACGAAACAGAGAAGAUUAGCAUGGCCCCUGUGCAAGGAUGACACACAAAUUCGUGGAGCGUUCCAUAGUUUU
Molecule: small nuclear RNA, 107 nt
Filed under: Sciurus vulgaris (Eurasian red squirrel)
Lineage: Eukaryota; Metazoa; Chordata; Mammalia; Rodentia; Sciuridae
Source: RNAcentral